Molecule: ribosomal RNA, 497 nt
Filed under: uncultured bacterium
Lineage: Bacteria
Description: partial 16S ribosomal RNA
Rfam family: Bacterial small subunit ribosomal RNA
Source: RNAcentral
GAUGAACGCUGGCGGCGUGCCUAAUACAUGCAAGUCGAGCGAACAGACGAGGAGCUUGCUCCUCUGACGUUAGCGGCGGACGGGUGAGUAACACGUGGAUAACCUACCUAUAAGACUGGGAUAACUUCGGGAAACAGGAGCUAAUACCGGAUAAUAUAUUCAACCGCAUGGUUCAAUAGUGAAAGACGGUUUUGCUGUCACUUAUAGAUGGAUCCGCGCCGCAUUAGCUAGUUGGUAAGGUAACGGCUUACCAAGGCAACGAUGCGUAGCCGACCUGAGAGGGUGAUCGGCCACACUGGAACUGAGACACGGUCCAGACUCCUACGGGAGGCAGCAGUAGGGAAUCUUCCGCAAUGGGCGAAAGCCUGACGGAGCAACGCCGCGUGAGUGAUGAAGGUCUUCGGAUCGUAAAACUCUGUUAUUAGGGAAGAACAAAUGUGUAAGUAACUAUGCACGUCUUGACGGUACCUAAUCAGAAAGCCACGGCUAACUACGUG